Molecule: ribosomal RNA, 746 nt
Filed under: Pyrobaculum sp.
Lineage: Archaea; Thermoproteati; Thermoproteota; Thermoprotei; Thermoproteales; Thermoproteaceae
Description: bacterial SSU rRNA
Rfam family: Archaeal small subunit ribosomal RNA
Source: RNAcentral
CCGGCCCUCCCCUUUUAGGGGCCCCAGAAAAACAGUGCCUAACUUAACCUUGGGGAGGGGGGACACCCCCAAAGGGCUGGCGGCCGAUCCGCCGCCAGUCGCCCGAGGGUGGGGGCACGGCCCAUCAGGUAGUUGGCGGGUUAAAGGCCCGCCAAGCCGAAGACGGGUAGGGGCGGUGAGAGCCGUGAGCCCCGAGAUGGGCACUGAGACAAGGGCCCAGGCCCUACGGGGUGCAGCAGGCGCGAAUACUCCGCAAUGCGGGCAACCGCGACGGGGCUACCCCGAGUGCCGGGCGAAGAGCCCGGCUUUUGCCCGGUCUAAAAAGCCGGGAGAAUAAGCGGGGGGCAAGUCUGGUGUCAGCCGCCGCGGUAAUACCAGCUCCGCGAGUGGUCGGGGUGUUUACUGGGCUUAAAGCGCCCGUAGCCGGCCCGGCAAGUCGCUCCUGAAAUCCCCGGGCUCAACCCGGGGGCCGGGGGCGAUACUGCCGGGCUAGGGGGCGGGAGAGGCCGCCGGUACUCCGGGGGUAGGGGCGAAAUCCGUUAAUCCCCGGAGGACCACCAGUGGCGAAAGCGGGCGGCCAGAACGCGCCCGACGGUGAGGGGCGAAAGCCGGGGGAGCAAAGGGGAUUAGAUACCCCUGUAGUCCCGGCCGUAAACGAUGCGGGCUAGCUGUCGGUCGGGCUUAAGGCCCGGCCGGUGGCCAAAGGGAAACCGUUAAGCCCGCCGCCUGGGGAGUACGGCCGCAAG